UGGGUGUGACUGCGUACCUUUUGUAUAAUGGGUCAGCGACUUAUAUUCUGUAGCAAGGUUAACCGAAUAGGGGAGCCGGAGGGAAACCGAGUCUUAACCGGGCGUUAAGUUGCAGGGUAUAGACCCGAAACCCGGUGAUCUAGCCAUGGGCAGGUUGAAGGUUGGGUAACACUAACUGGAGGACCGAACCGACUAAUGUUGAAAAAUUAGCGGAUGACCUGUGGCUGGGGGUGAAAGGCCAAUCAAACCGGGAGAUAGCUGGUUCUCCCCGAAAGCUAUUUAGGUAGCGCCUCGUGAAUUCAUCUCCGGGGGUAGAGCACUGUUUCGGCUAGGGGGCCAUCCCGGCUUACCAACCCGAUGCAAACUGCGAAUACCGGAGAAUGUUAUCACGGGAGACACACGGCGGGUGCUAACGUCCGUCGUGAAGAGGGAAACAACCCAGACCGCCAGCUAAGGUCCCAAAGUCAUGGUUAAGUGGGAAACGAUGUGGGAAGGCCCAGACAGCCAGGAUGUUGGCUUAGAAGCAGCCAUCAUUUAAAGAAAGCGUAAUAGCUCACUGGUCGAGUCGGCCUGCGCGGAAGAUGUAACGGGGCUAAACCAUGCACCGAAGCUGCGGCAGCGACACUGUGUGUUGUUGGGUAGGGGAGCGUUCUGUAAGCCUGUGAAGGUGUGUCGUGAGGCAUGCUGGAGGUAUCAGAAGUGCGAAUGCUGACAUAAGUAACGAUAAAGCGGGUGAAAAGCCCGCUCGCCGGAAGACCAAGGGUUCCUGUCCAACGUUAAUCGGGGCAGGGUGAGUCGACCCCUAAGGCGAGGCCGAAAGGCGUAGUCGAUGGGAAACGGGUUAAUAUUCCCGUACUUGGUGUUACUGCGAAGGGGGGACGGAGAAGGCUAUGUUGGCCGGGCGACGGUUGUCCCGGUUUAAGCGUGUAGGUGUGUGUUCCAGGUAAAUCCGGUUCACUUUAACACUGAGGCGUGACGACGAGGCACUACGGUGCUGAAGCAACAAAUGCCCUGCUUCCAGGAAAAGCCUCUAAGCAUCAGGUAACAUCAAAUCGUACCCCAAACCGACACAGGUGGUCAGGUAGAGAAUACCAAGGCGCUUGAGAGAACUCGGGUGAAGGAACUAGGCAAAAUGGUGCCGUAACUUCGGGAGAAGGCACGCUGACACGUAGGUGAAGUGAUUUACUCAUGGAGCUGAAGUCAGUCGAAGAUACCAGCUGGCUGCAACUGUUUAUUAAAAACACAGCACUGUGCAAACACGAAAGUGGACGUAUACGGUGUGACGCCUGCCCGGUGCCGGAAGGUUAAUUGAUGGGGUCAGCGCAAGCGAAGCUCCUGAUCGAAGCCCCGGUAAACGGCGGCCGUAACUAUAACGGUCCUAAGGUAGCGAAAUUCCUUGUCGGGUAAGUUCCGACCUGCACGAAUGGCGUAAUGAUGGCCAGGCUGUCUCCACCCGAGACUCAGUGAAAUUGAACUCGCUGUGAAGAUGCAGUGUACCCGCGGCAAGACGGAAAGACCCCGUGAACCUUUACUAUAGCUUGACACUGAACAUUGAGCCUUGAUGUGUAGGAUAGGUGGGAGGCUUUGAAGUGUGGACGCCAGUCUGCAUGGAGCCGACCUUGAAAUACCACCCUUUAAUGUUUGAUGUUCUAACGUGGACCCGUUACCCGGGUUGCGGACAGUGUCUGGUGGGUAGUUUGACUGGGGCGGUCUCCUCCUAAAGAGUAACGGAGGAGCACGAAGGUUGGCUAAUCCUGGUCGGACAUCAGGAGGUUAGUGCAAUGGCAUAAGCCAGCUUGACUGCGAGCGUGACGGCGCGAGCAGGUGCGAAAGCAGGUCAUAGUGAUCCGGUGGUUCUGAAUGGAAGGGCCAUCGCUCAACGGAUAAAAGGUACUCCGGGGAUAACAGGCUGAUACCGCCCAAGAGUUCAUAUCGACGGCGGUGUUUGGCACCUCGAUGUCGGCUCAUCACAUCCUGGGGCUGAAGUAGGUCCCAAGGGUAUGGCUGUUCGCCAUUUAAAGUGGUACGCGAGCUGGGUUUAGAACGUCGUGAGACAGUUCGGUCCCUAUCUGCCGUGGGCGCUGGAGAACUGAGGGGGGCUGCUCCUAGUACGAGAGGACCGGAGUGGACGCAUCACUGGUGUUCGGGUUGUCAUGCCAAUGGCACUGCCCGGUAGCUAAAUGCGGAAGAGAUAAGUGCUGAAAGCAUCUAAGCACGAAACUUGCCCCGAGAUGAGUUCUCCCUGAGACUUAGAGUCUCCUGAAGGAACGUUGAAGACGACGACGUUGAUAGGCCGGGUGUGUAAGCGCAGCGAUGCGUUGAGCUAACCGGUACUAAUGAACCGUGAGGCUUAACCUU
RNAcentral lists this ribosomal RNA (2358 nucleotides) under Salmonella enterica subsp. enterica serovar Enteritidis str. CDC_2010K_1747. RNAcentral describes it as "bacterial LSU rRNA". It matches the Rfam family "Bacterial large subunit ribosomal RNA", at positions 588 to 2925 of the family's 2925-position model. Lineage: Bacteria; Pseudomonadati; Pseudomonadota; Gammaproteobacteria; Enterobacterales; Enterobacteriaceae. The record is from RNAcentral.